RNAcentral lists this ribosomal RNA (262 nucleotides) under uncultured archaeon. RNAcentral describes it as "partial 16S ribosomal RNA". It matches the Rfam family "Archaeal small subunit ribosomal RNA", at positions 748 to 1009 of the family's 1478-position model. The record is from RNAcentral.
AGGGUGUAAACGCUGCAGACUUGGUGUUGGAAGUCCUUUGGGGGCAUUCAGCGCCGGAGAGAAGUUGUUAAGUCUGCUACUUGGGGAGUACGUCCGCAAGGAUGAAACUUAAAGGAAUUGGCGGGGGAGGCACCGCAACGGGAGGAGCGUGCGGUUUAAUUGGAUUCAACACCGUAAACUCACCAGGGAAGACUGUUACAUGAGAGCCGAGAUGAAGACUCUGCUAGAUUUUCAGAGAGGAGGUGCAUGGCCGUCAGUGACU